ACAAUCUGAUCAUAACAGACAGAAGACUAGCCCUCCUGUCAUAAACUAUGUUAAAAUUAGACAAAAAUGCAUAAAGCAACUGUUUUCAGACGCUGGAAAACAAGCAGCACAGGAGUAUGAUCCUUGAGAGAAGAGAAACUAACAAGGUUAUGGUCCGGACUUGCUAUCCAAUAUGUGAUGCAGGGAGAGGAAGACCAAACAGAAAACAGCAGUCCCGCAGAGCUCAGAAGACAGAUCAGUGGUUUCAGGUUUUAGCCUCCAGCACCCUUGGUUCAAGGGUAGACGUCCCUUCAGCAGAUUUCAAUCCUCCACACAAGUUCUGGGCUUACUGUACUCCACACGGAGAAGUGAAGAAGGAACCCUCACUACUCCUCCUGUACCUCAACUCUGCCAUUGUCAGACAGCACUGCACUUUGACCCUUUACCAUCUCAAGUAACAGCAUGCUUCUGAGAAAACAUAUCUUCCUGUCAAAAUGGAAAUGAGUUCCCCGACCAGGAAUCGAACCCGUGGCCCCUGCAGUGGAAGCGCGGAAUCCUAACGACUGGACCGCCAGGGAAUUCCCAACAAAUUAGUAUUUUAUUCAUCACAAUAGGAUCUACAUUUCAAAAAAAUAGGAGAGCAUAUAGAACUGAAAUAUUUAUUCAGCCUAUAGACAAUGCUUGGUAUGCAUAUGGAUAGCCGAUCCAAAAAUUCCACAGCCAAUUCAGGUAUGUUCUGCCAACAGACUGAGAACCAAACUUUGGUGUAUCACGGAAUCACCUGUAAAGCCUGUUAAAACUCCAUAUGCCUGGCCCCAGGCACUAACCACGUCUUGACUGUAGUUCAGUAUGUGUCCAAUAGAUGUCUUCACACUUCUAUCCAUCAAAGGAAAGGCACUCCAGUAAACAAUACAAAAUCUAACAAUAAGUCACGUAACAAUGUAAUUUCAGUACAAACAGAAAAUACAAUGCUUAAUUUAAUUUUUGUUUCUCUUCUUUGGCUUUUAUUUGGGGGAAUUAUUUACCUGCUAUCUCCAGAAUCAUGUUCAUAAACAAAAUGGAAGACUAAUCACAAAUGUUCCUGGAUAUGAAUGCCAUUUUAAUGUUACUGUAUUUCAUCAAAUCUAAGAUGCCACUGAUUGUAAGGUAAACCACUGUUUAAUGUGCUGGAAAGAAAAGAAGGAAAUGCCUCCAAAUAAACCAUGACCCAAGCGUCUAUCA
Molecule: long non-coding RNA, 1200 nt
Organism: Balaenoptera acutorostrata (minke whale)
Lineage: Eukaryota; Metazoa; Chordata; Mammalia; Artiodactyla; Balaenopteridae
Exons: 3
Source: RefSeq, a predicted model, not a curated record